CCUACGGGAGGCAGCAGUGGGGGAUAUUGCACAAUGGGGGAAACCCUGAUGCAGCGACGCCGCGUGGGCGAAGAAGUAUUUCGGUAUGUAAAGCCCUAUCAGCAGGGAAGAAGAAAUGACGGUACCUGAGUAAGAAGCACCGGCUAAAUACGUGCCAGCAGCCGCGGUAAUACGUAUGGUGCAAGCGUUAUCCGGAUUUACUGGGUGUAAAGGGAGCGCAGGCGGCACGGCAAGCCUGAUGUGAAAGCCCGGGGCCCAACCCCGGGACUGCUCUUGGAACUGCGUGGCUGGAGUGCAGGAGGGGCAGGCGGAAUUCCGGGUGUAGCGGUGAAAUGCGUAGAUAUCAGGAGGAACACCGGUGGCGAAGGCGGCCUGCUGGACUGCAACUGACGUUGAGGCCCGAAAGCGUGGGGAGCAAACAGGAUUAGAUACCCUUGUAGUC
RNAcentral lists this ribosomal RNA (442 nucleotides) under uncultured bacterium. RNAcentral's name for it is "partial 16S ribosomal RNA". It matches the Rfam family "Bacterial small subunit ribosomal RNA", at positions 338 to 795 of the family's 1533-position model. The record is from RNAcentral.